RNAcentral lists this ribosomal RNA (301 nucleotides) under uncultured bacterium. RNAcentral's name for it is "partial 16S ribosomal RNA". It matches the Rfam family "Bacterial small subunit ribosomal RNA", at positions 509 to 808 of the family's 1533-position model. The record is from RNAcentral.
CAGUAGCCGCGGGAAUACAGAGGGUGCGAGCGUUAAUCGGAUUUACUGGGCGUAAAGGGCUCGUAGGUGGUGUGUCGCGUCGUCUGUGUAAUCCAGGGGCUUAACUUUUGGUUGGCAGGCGAUACGGGCAUUGCUUGAGUGCUGUAGGGGAGACUGGAAUUCCUGGUGUAGCGGUGAAAUGCGCAGAUAUCAGGAGGAACACCGAUGGCGAAGGCAGGUCUCUGGGCAGUUACUGACGCUGAGGAGCGAGAGCAUGGGUAGCGAACAGGAUUAGAUACCCCGGUAGUCCCUGUCUCUUAUA